RNAcentral lists this ribosomal RNA (630 nucleotides) under uncultured beta proteobacterium. RNAcentral describes it as "bacterial SSU rRNA". It matches the Rfam family "Bacterial small subunit ribosomal RNA", at positions 36 to 661 of the family's 1533-position model. The record is from RNAcentral. Lineage: Bacteria; Pseudomonadati; Pseudomonadota; Betaproteobacteria.
CUUUUGGCAUGCCUUACACAUGCANGUCGAACGGCAGCACGGAGCUUGCUCUGGUGGCGAGUGGCGAACGGGUGAGUAAUAUAUCGGAACGUACCCUGGAGUGGGGGAUAACGUAGCGAAAGUUACGCUAAUACCGCAUACGAUCUAAGGAUGAAAGUGGGGGAUCGCAAGACCUCAUGCUCGUGGAGCGGCCGAUAUCUGAUUAGCUAGUUGGUAGGGUAAAAGCCUACCAAGGCAUCGAUCAGUAGCUGGUCUGAGAGGACGACCAGCCACACUGGAACUGAGACACGGUCCAGACUCCUACGGGAGGCAGCAGUGGGGAAUUUUGGACAAUGGGCGAAAGCCUGAUCCAGCAAUGCCGCGUGAGUGAAGAAGGCCUUCGGGUUGUAAAGCUCCUUUGUCAGGGAAGAAACGGUGAGAGCUAAUAUCUCUUGCUAAUGACGGUACCUGAAGAAUAAGCACCGGCUAACUACGUGCCAGCAGCCGCGGUAAUACGUAGGGUGCAAGCGUUAAUCGGAAUUACUGGGCGUAAAGCGUGCGCAGGCGGUUUUGUAAGUCUGAUGUGAAAUCCCCGGGCUCAACCUGGGAAUUGCAUUGGAGACUGCAAGGCUAGAAUCUGGCAGAGGGGGG